GGUUGCUUCAGCAGCACCAUAAACUAAAAUUGGAACGACACAGAGAAGAUUAGCAUGGCCUCUGCUUAAGGAUGAUGUUCAAAUUCAUGAAGAACACUUAAUACAU
This is a non-coding RNA of Canis lupus familiaris (dog), 106 nucleotides long. NCBI's taxonomy places the organism in Eukaryota, Metazoa, Chordata, Mammalia, Carnivora, Canidae. The record is from Rfam.